Molecule: ribosomal RNA, 700 nt
Filed under: uncultured bacterium
Lineage: Bacteria
Description: bacterial SSU rRNA
Rfam family: Bacterial small subunit ribosomal RNA
Source: RNAcentral
AGAGUUUGAUCCUGGCUCAGAACGAACGCUGGCGGGCAUGCUAACACAUGCAGUCGAAUGUAACAGGAAACAGCUUGCUGUUUCGCUGACGAGUGGCGGACGGGUGAGUAAUGUCUGGGAACUGCCUGAUGGAGGGGGAUAACUACUGGAAACGGUAGCUAAUACCGCAUAACGUCGCAAGACCAAAGAGGGGGACCUUCGGGCCUCUUGCCAUCAGAUGUGCCCAGAUGGGAUUAGCUAGUAGGUGGGGUAACGGCUCACCUAGGCGACGAUCCCUAGCUGGUCUGAGAGGGUGACCAGCCACACUGGAACUGAGACACGGUCCAGACUCCUACGGGAGGCAGCAGUGGGGAAUAUUGCACAAUGGGCGCAAGCCUGAUGCAGCCAUGCCGCGUGUAUGAAGAAGGCCUCGGGUUGUAAAGUACUUUCAGCGGGGAGGAAGGGAGUAAAGUUAAUACCUUUGCUCAUUGACGUUACCCGCAGAAGAAGCACCGGCUAACUCCGUGCCAGCAGCCGCGGUAAUACGGAGGGUGCAAGCGUUAAUCGGAAUUACUGGGCGCAAAGCGCACGCAGGCGGUUUGUUAAGUCAGAUGUGAAAUCCCCGGGCUCAACCUGGGAACUGCAUCUGAUACUGGCAAGCUUGAGUCUCGUAGAGGGGGGUAGAAUUCCAGGUGUAGCGGUGAAAUGCGUAGAGAUCUGG